This 71-nucleotide transfer RNA is filed under the name Camelus bactrianus (Bactrian camel). It matches the Rfam family "tRNA". Rfam says of the family: Transfer RNA (tRNA) molecules are approximately 80 nucleotides in length. Their secondary structure includes four short double-helical elements and three loops (D, anti-codon, and T loops). The record is from Rfam by way of RNAcentral. RNAcentral also lists the same sequence under 2 other names. Lineage: Eukaryota; Metazoa; Chordata; Mammalia; Artiodactyla; Camelidae.
GAGGGUAUAGCUCAAGGGUAGAGCACGUGCUUAGCCUGCAGGAGGUCCUGGGUUCAAUCCCCAGGACCUCA